Molecule: long non-coding RNA, 268 nt
Organism: Oncorhynchus masou masou (cherry salmon)
Lineage: Eukaryota; Metazoa; Chordata; Actinopteri; Salmoniformes; Salmonidae
Exons: 3
Source: RefSeq, a predicted model, not a curated record
ACACACACACACAUCACACGCUCCCCACACACACGCUCUGUCUGCUCGCCCCCACACACACACACUAUGUCUCUCUCUCUCUCUCUCGCUCUGUCUGUCUCUCUCGGUGCUUCAGUUUCGUUGUCUCUUCAGGGAGUUGCAGUUCUCAUCUGUAGCUCCACAGUACCUCGUCUCCUCCAGAGCUCCAGACAGUUCUCCAACCAGACAUGAACCAACCACCUCCCCAGACACAACCUACAAUCACCCCUGGUGUAACCCAGGUGGUGGU